This 292-nucleotide ribosomal RNA is filed under the name uncultured bacterium. RNAcentral describes it as "partial 16S ribosomal RNA". It matches the Rfam family "Bacterial small subunit ribosomal RNA", at positions 505 to 796 of the family's 1533-position model. The record is from RNAcentral.
GUGUCAGCCGCCGCGGUAAUACGAAGGGGGCUAGCGUUGCUCGGAAUUACUGGGCGUAAAGGGAGCGUAGGCGGGUCGUCAAGUUGGGGGUGAAAGCCCAGGGCUCAACCCUGGAACUGCCUUCAAAACUGGCGACCUAGAGUAUGGUAGAGGUGUGUGGAACUCCGAGUGUAGAGGUGAAAUUCGUAGAUAUUCGGAAGAACACCAGUGGCGAAGGCGACACACUGGGCCAUUACUGACGCUGAGGCUCGAAAGCGUGGGGAGCAAACAGGAUUAGAAACCCCCGUAGUCC